AGCAGUUUACGUUUGCUGGAUAUUUUAUGUUUUUUAUGUUUUUAUGUCUAGGAAUGUGAUAAAUGGUUGGGAUACCAUUUACAUCUUGUAUAUAUCCAUUUGCGUCUAAAUAUGGAAAGGCUUCAGGAGGAAUGAAGCCAGAAGCUAAUGUUUUUGCGUGAUACUCUGGAUGUGGAUAUAAUGCGCUAAAGAUUAAGCUAUUGUGUGUGAUGCGGCUUGCAUUUGCAAAAUGAUCUCGUUAAUCGUGUUCUGGAUUUGCGAACAUUCUCAGGCAAACUCUUAAGCAUUUACGUUCGAAAUGUCUGAUUUUUUCCAAUUGUGAGGCACUGACGUUAUACCACACAGGACAUCCAUAUGUAAUGAUGGGUCUGAUUAGAACUUCCAUGAUUUAUAAUAUGCAUUGACUCUUUCAAAUCCAUCCUGAAGCCUGUGUUGUAUUCGUGAGGGCCAUGCAUCCUCGCUAUAAAUUAUUAAGUCAUCUGCGAAUGCAAUGGAUUUUAUGGGACAAGCCGAAUUUGCGUUACAGAAUUUCAACACGUGACAUGUAUAUAUAUUGAAAAGAAUGGGAGAGUUCACUGUGCCCUGCUGUAAUCCAUUUGUUAUGACGAAGUUAUUUGAAGAAGUGAGUCUACCUAUGUUGGUUACGAAAGAUCUUUCGCUUAUCAUGCUCCAGAUUAAUUCUAUCAUGUGUUCAGAGAAUUUAUUUUGACUAAGCUUUACAAUGAGGCCUGAUAGCCAGACCGAAUCAAAUGCUUUUUCUAGAUCUAUGAGGCAGGCGCCUACGCACUUUUUGUCAUUCAUGGCCCAACAAAUGUCUGAGGUAAGUUUAUUAAUAGCGUGUAAAGUGGAGUGUUUGGAUCUGAAUCCGAAUUGAUUUUCGGGAUCGGUACUACUAAGGCCUUUUUCCAGUGCGGUGGAAAAUAUCUAUUGUUUAAUAAAUUGUUAAAGAGGAUCGCGUAGGCUCGUAUCACCUCUGGAGUGUUACUUGUGAACGGGAUUUGUGUGUCUUCUGAGAAAGAGACAUAUGCAAGAAUCGCGUUGUGAUCGCUAUCAUACGGGACGCUUGGUAAUUUGAAGGAAUCUACUGUGUUAUUAAAAUCUAUUCUUGGAGUUGCCCGAAUAAGUUAUUGAGCUCUGGGAUAAAUUCUUUUUGAUUACCGCAGGGCGCGUAAGCUGCGAUUAGGAAUA
This is a long non-coding RNA of Camponotus floridanus (Florida carpenter ant), 1188 nucleotides long. RefSeq lists it as uncharacterized. The record is from RefSeq and is a predicted model, not a curated record. NCBI's taxonomy places the organism in Eukaryota, Metazoa, Arthropoda, Insecta, Hymenoptera, Formicidae. The transcript has 6 exons.